GACGAACGCUGGCGGCGUGCUUAACACAUGCAAGUCGAACGGAAAGGCCCUGCUUUUGUGGGGUGCUCGAGUGGCGAACGGGUGAGUAACACGUGAGUAACCUGCCCUUGACUUUGGGAUAACUUCAGGAAACUGGGGCUAAUACCGGAUAGGAGCUCCUGCUGCAUGGUGGGGGUUGGAAAGUUUCGGCGGUUGGGGAUGGACUCGCGGCUUAUCAGCUUGUUGGUGGGGUAGUGGCUUACCAAGGCUUUGACGGGUAGCCGGCCUGAGAGGUUGACCGGCCACAUUGGGACUGAGAUACGGACCAGACUCCUACGGGAGGCAGCAGGGGGGAAUAUUGCACAAUGGGCGGAAGUCUGAUGCAGCAACGCCGCGUGCGGGAUGACGGCCUUCGGGUUGUAAACCGCUGUCGCCUGUGACGAAGCGGGAGUGACGGUAAUGGGUAAAGAAGCACCGGCUAACUACGUG
This 468-nucleotide ribosomal RNA is filed under the name uncultured bacterium. Its description in RNAcentral is "partial 16S ribosomal RNA". It matches the Rfam family "Bacterial small subunit ribosomal RNA", at positions 28 to 507 of the family's 1533-position model. The record is from RNAcentral.